This 76-nucleotide microRNA precursor is filed under the name Procavia capensis (Cape rock hyrax). RNAcentral's name for it is "miRNA (ENSPCAG00000019028.1)". The record is from RNAcentral. Lineage: Eukaryota; Metazoa; Chordata; Mammalia; Hyracoidea; Procaviidae.
ACAUAUACCCAUGCGUGUGUGUGUGCAUGUGCAUGUGCACGUGUAUGUGCAUCGCAUGCAUAUACCUUGGAGACUU